UAACUAGGAUUCCCUUAGUAACGGCGAGUGAACCGGGAAAAGCUCAAAUUUGUAAUCUGGCUGUCUUCGAUAGUCCGAGUUGUAAUCUAUAGACGUGUUUUCCGUGCUGGACCGUAUCUAAGUCCCUUGGAACAGGGUAUCAAAGAGGGUGACAAUCCCGUGCUUGAUACGACCACCAGUGCUCUGUGAUACACGCUCUACGAGUCGAGUUGUUUGGGAAUGCAGCUCAAAAUGGGUGGUAAAUUCCAUCUAAAGCUAAAUAUUGGCGAGAGACCGAUAGCGAACAAGUACCGUGAGGGAAAGAUGAAAAGCACUUUGGAAAGAGAGUUAAACAGUACGUGAAAUUGUUGAAAGGGAAACGAUUGAAGUCAGUCGUGUUCUUUGGAUUCAGCUAGUUCUUCUAGUCUACUUCCAUUGAACGGGUCAACAUCAGUUUUGUCCGGUGGAUAAAGAUAGUAGGAAUGUAGCUCCCCCGGGAGUGUUAUAGACUAUUAUUGCAUACACUGGGUGAGACUGAGGACUGCAGCUCGCCUUUUGGCCGGUCUUCGGACACGUUCGAGCUUAGGAUGUUGACAUAAUGGCUUUAAC
Molecule: ribosomal RNA, 588 nt
Filed under: Cutaneotrichosporon dermatis
Lineage: Eukaryota; Fungi; Basidiomycota; Tremellomycetes; Trichosporonales; Trichosporonaceae
Description: LSU rRNA
Rfam family: Eukaryotic large subunit ribosomal RNA
Source: RNAcentral